UGGCUCUAGCAUCGAUGAAGAACGCAGCGAAAUGCGAUAAGUAAUGCGAAUUGCAGAAUUCCGCGAGUCAUCGAAUCUUUGAACGCACAUUGCGCCUGCUAGUAUUCUGGCAGGCAUGCCUGUCCGAGCGUCAUUUCAACCCCCAGGCCCUCGUUGCCUGUUGUUGGGGUCUUUCAGGGGACGGUCCAGCGGAUCGGCACCCUGAGCCCUGAAAAGCAGUGGCGGGCUCGCCAGGUCACCGAGCGCAGUAAUUCUCUCUCGCUUAGGGGACCCGGCGGGUGCCAGCCGUGAAAAACGCUAUAAACGCACUUCUAACAGUGGUUUGACCUCGGAUCAGGUAGGAAUACCCGCUGA
Molecule: unclassified non-coding RNA, 354 nt
Filed under: uncultured fungus
Lineage: Eukaryota; Fungi
Description: partial contains 5.8S ribosomal RNA and internal transcribed spacer 2
Rfam family: 5.8S ribosomal RNA (bases 1-133)
Source: RNAcentral